UAAUCAAUAGCAUAAAUAAAAUGCAUCUAACUGUUAAUUAGAAGAUUAUCAUUGAGAUUUGAUUAA
RNAcentral lists this transfer RNA (66 nucleotides) under Pterobdella arugamensis. Its description in RNAcentral is "tRNA-Asn". It matches the Rfam family "tRNA". From Rfam's summary of the family: Transfer RNA (tRNA) molecules are approximately 80 nucleotides in length. Their secondary structure includes four short double-helical elements and three loops (D, anti-codon, and T loops). Lineage: Eukaryota; Metazoa; Annelida; Clitellata; Hirudinida; Piscicolidae. The record is from RNAcentral.